RNAcentral lists this ribosomal RNA (491 nucleotides) under uncultured bacterium. RNAcentral describes it as "partial 16S ribosomal RNA". It matches the Rfam family "Bacterial small subunit ribosomal RNA", at positions 28 to 507 of the family's 1533-position model. The record is from RNAcentral.
GAUGAACGCUGGCUACAGGCUUAACACAUGCAAGUCGAGGGGAAACGACGGGGAAGCUUGCUUCCCCGGGCGUCGACCGGCGCACGGGUGAGUAACGCGUAUCCAACCUGCUUCUGACUGAGGGAUAACCCGUCGAAAGUCGGCCUAAUACCUCAUGGCAUCGUCUGCGGGCAUCCAACGACGAUUAAAGAUUUCAUCGGUCAGGGAUGGGGAUGCGUCUGAUUAGCUUGUUGGCGGGGUAACGGCCCACCAAGGCUACGAUCAGUAGGGGUUCUGAGAGGAAGGUCCCCCACAUUGGAACUGAGACACGGUCCAAACUCCUACGGGAGGCAGCAGUGAGGAAUAUUGGUCAAUGGGCGGGAGCCUGAACCAGCCAAGUAGCGUGCAGGAUGACGGCCCUAUGGGUUGUAAACUGCUUUUAUGCGGGGAUAAAGUGAGGGACGUGUCCUUCAUUGCAGGUACCGCAUGAAUAAGGACCGGCUAAUUCCGUG